CCUACGGGUGGCAGCAGUGGGGGAUAUUGCACAAUGGGGGGAACCCUGAUGCAGCGAAGCCGCGUGGGUGAAGAAGCGCCUCGGCGCGUAAAGCCCUGUCAGCAGGGAAGAAAAUGACGGUACCUGUAGACGAAGCCACGGCUAACUACGUGCCAGCAGCCGCGGUAAUACGUAGGGGGCACGCGUUAUCCCGAUUUACUGGGGGUAAAGGGGGAGCAGACGGCGUUGCAAGCCAGGAGUGAAAGCGCGGGGCCCAACCCCGGGACUGCUCUUGGAACUGCGUGGCUGGAGUGCAGGAGGGGCAUGCGGAAUGCCUGGUGUAGCGGUGAAAUGCGUAGAUAUCAGGAGGAACACCGGUGGCGAAGGCGGCCUGCUGGACUGCAACUGACGUUGAGGCCCGAAAGCGUGGGGAGCGAACAGGAUUAGAUACCCCAGUAGUC
Molecule: ribosomal RNA, 440 nt
Filed under: uncultured bacterium
Lineage: Bacteria
Description: partial 16S ribosomal RNA
Rfam family: Bacterial small subunit ribosomal RNA
Source: RNAcentral